CCUACGGGUGGCAGCAGUGAGGAAUAUUGGUCAAUGGCCGCAAGGCUGAACCAGCCACGUCGCGUGAAGGAAGAAGGAUCUAUGGUUUGUAAACUUCUUUUAUAGGGGAAUAAAGGUAUCCACGUGUGGAUAUUUGCAUGUACACUAUGACUAAGCAUCGGCUAACGUCGUGCCAGCAGCCGCGGUAAUACGGAGGGUGCGAGCGUUAUCCGGAUUUAUUGGGUUUAAAGGGUGCGUAGGUUGGUUUUUAAGUCAGCGGUGAAAGUUUGUGGCUCAACCAUGCAAUUGCCGUUGAAACUGGAAGACUUGAGUGUGGUUGAGGUAGGCGGAAUGCGUGGUGUAGCGGUGAAAUGCAUAGAUAUCACGCAGAACACCGAUUGCGAAGGCAGCUUACUGGGCCAUAACUGACGCUGAGGCACGAAAGCGUGGGGAGCAAACAGGAUUAGAUACCCCAGUAGUC
This 460-nucleotide ribosomal RNA is filed under the name uncultured bacterium. RNAcentral describes it as "partial 16S ribosomal RNA". It matches the Rfam family "Bacterial small subunit ribosomal RNA", at positions 338 to 795 of the family's 1533-position model. The record is from RNAcentral.